RNAcentral lists this ribosomal RNA (426 nucleotides) under uncultured bacterium. Its description in RNAcentral is "bacterial SSU rRNA". It matches the Rfam family "Bacterial small subunit ribosomal RNA", at positions 354 to 796 of the family's 1533-position model. The record is from RNAcentral.
GUAGGGAAUAUUGCACAAUGGGCGAAAGCCUGAUGCAGCAACGCCGCGUGCGCGAUGAAGACCUUCGGGUUGUAAAGCGCUUUUCUGAAGGACGAGGAAGGACGGUACUUCAGGAAUAAGGAUCGGCUAACUACGUGCCAGCAGCCGCGGUAAUACGUAGGAUCCGAGCGUUAUCCGAAUUUACUGGGCGUAAAGCGCGUGCAGGCGGUUUGAUAAGUUGGAUGUGAAAGCUCCCGGCUCAACUGGGAGAGGCCGUUCAAAACUAUCAGACUAGAGGACGGUAGAGGGAGGUAGAAUUCCCGGUGUAGUAGUGAAAUGCGUAGAUAUCGGGAGGAAUACCAGUGGCGAAGGCGGCCUCCUGGACCGUUCCUGACGCUCAGACGCGAAAGCUAGGGGAGCGAACGGGAUUAGAAACCCUAGUAGUCC